AGCCUUAGGUAAAGAUCUAAGGUAAAGCCUGCCCAGUGCAAUUUGUGAACGGCCGCAGUACCCUGACUGUGCUAAGGUAGCAUAAUAAUUUGGCUUUUAAAUGGAGUCGGGAAUGAAUGGAUUAAUAGGGCUAAGCUGUCUCCCCUAUACUUAUUUUAAUUUACUUAUUAGGUGAAAAUGCCUAUAUUAAGAAAAAAGACGAGAAGACCCUAGGAGUUUUCACUAAACUUUAUAUUUUAUAGUGUUCGUUUUUGUUGGGGCGACAUGAGAGGAGAAAUAUAAACCUCUUUGACUUAUAUGCCG
Molecule: ribosomal RNA, 303 nt
Filed under: Placida kevinleei
Lineage: Eukaryota; Metazoa; Mollusca; Gastropoda; Limapontiidae
Description: partial 16S ribosomal RNA
Rfam family: Archaeal large subunit ribosomal RNA
Source: RNAcentral